CUCCUACGGGAGGCAGCAGUGGGGAAUUUUGGACAAUGGGCGCAAGCCUGAUCCAGCAAUGCCGCGUGAGUGAAGAAGGCCUUCGGGUUGUAAAGCUCUUUCAGUUGAGAAGAAAAGAUUCUGGCUAAUAUCUAGAAUCCAUGACGGUAUCGACAGAAGAAGCACCGGCUAACUACGUGCCAGCAGCCGCGGUAAUACGUAGGGUGCAAGCGUUAAUCGGAAUUACUGGGCGUAAAGGGUGCGCAGGUGGUUUUGUAAGUCAGAUGUGAAAUCCCCGGGCUUAACCUGGGAAUUGCGUUUGAAACUACAAGACUAGAGUGUGGCAGAGGGGGGUGGAAUUCCAUGUGUAGCAGUGAAAUGCGUAGAGAUAUGGAAGAACAUCGAUGGCGAAGGCAGCCCCCUGGGUUAACACUGACACUCAUGCACGAAAGCGUGGGGAACAAA
This 444-nucleotide ribosomal RNA is filed under the name uncultured bacterium. Its description in RNAcentral is "bacterial SSU rRNA". It matches the Rfam family "Bacterial small subunit ribosomal RNA", at positions 336 to 772 of the family's 1533-position model. The record is from RNAcentral.